CGGACGGGUGAGUAACGCGUGAGAAUCUGGCUUUAGGUCUGGGACAACCACUGGAAACGGUGGCUAAUACCGGAUGUGCCCGUAAUUGGGUGAAAGGUUAACUGCCUGAAGAUGAGCUCGCGUCUGAUUAGCUAGUUGGAAGUGUAAUGGACUCCCAAGGCGACGAUCAGUAGCUGGUCUGAGAGGACGAUCAGCCACACUGGGACUGAGACACGGCCCAGACUCCUACGGGAGGCAGCAGUGGGGAAUUUUCCGCAAUGGGCGAAAGCCUGACGGAGCAAUACCGCGUGAGGGAGGAAGGCUCUUGGGUCGUAAACCUCUUUUCUCAGGGAAGAACACAAUGACGGUACCUGAGGAAUAAGCAUCGGCUAACUCCGUGCCAGCAGCCGCGGUAAUACGGAGGAUGCAAGCGUUAUCCGGAAUGAUUGGGCGUAAAGCGUCCGCAGGUGGCAAUGUAAGUCUGCUGUUAAAGAGUCUAGCUCAACUAGAUAAGAGCAGUGGAAACUACAUAGCUAGAGUACGUUCGGGGCAGAGGGAAUUCCUGGUGUAGCGGUGAAAUGCGUAGAGAUCAGGAAGAACACCAGUGGCGAAGGCGCUCUGCUAGGCCGUAACUGACACUGAGGGACGAAAGCUAGGGGAGCGAAUGGGAUUAGAUACCCCAGUAGUC
RNAcentral lists this ribosomal RNA (667 nucleotides) under uncultured cyanobacterium. Its description in RNAcentral is "bacterial SSU rRNA". It matches the Rfam family "Bacterial small subunit ribosomal RNA", at positions 99 to 795 of the family's 1533-position model. The record is from RNAcentral. Lineage: Bacteria; Bacillati; Cyanobacteriota.